RNAcentral lists this ribosomal RNA (312 nucleotides) under Vibrio sp. enrichment culture clone 6. RNAcentral's name for it is "bacterial SSU rRNA". It matches the Rfam family "Bacterial small subunit ribosomal RNA", at positions 774 to 1085 of the family's 1533-position model. The record is from RNAcentral. Lineage: Bacteria; Pseudomonadati; Pseudomonadota; Gammaproteobacteria; Vibrionales; Vibrionaceae.
AUGAUUUUAUACCCUGGUAGUCCACGCCGUAAACGAUGUCUACUUGGAGGUUGUGGCCUUGAGCCGUGGCUUUCGGAGCUAACGCGUUAAGUAGACCGCCUGGGGAGUACGGUCGCAAGAUUAAAACUCAAAUGAAUUGACGGGGGCCCGCACAAGCGGUGGAGCAUGUGGUUUAAUUCGAUGCAACGCGAAGAACCUUACCUACUCUUGACAUCCAGAGAAUCCAGCGGAGACGCAGGAGUGCCUUCGGGAGCUCUGAGACAGGUGCUGCAUGGCUGUCGUCAGCUCGUGUCGUGAGAUGUUGGGUUAAGU